This 391-nucleotide unclassified non-coding RNA is filed under the name soil metagenome. RNAcentral's name for it is "partial contains 5.8S ribosomal RNA, internal transcribed spacer 2, and large subunit ribosomal RNA". The stretch from base 1 to 122 matches the Rfam family "5.8S ribosomal RNA", at positions 35 to 154 of the family's 154-position model. The record is from RNAcentral.
GAUGAAGAACGUAGCGAAAUGCGAUACUUGGUGUGAAUUGCAGAAUCCCGUGAACCAUCGAGUCUUUGAACGCAAGUUGCGCCCGAAGCCACUAGGCCGAGGGCACGCCUACCUGGGCGUCACACGCCGUUGCCCCCCCAUCUACUCCUUCGGGAUUGCGGGGGGGCGGAUGAUGGCCUCCCGUGCGCCUAGCCGCGCGGUUGGCAUAAAUACCAAGUCCUCGGCGACGCACGCCACGACAAUCGGUGGUUGCGAAACCUCGGUUGCCCGUCGUGUGCGUUCGUCGCGCAUCGAGGGCUCGAAAAAAUGCUCGGCUCCGGCUGGGCUUUCAACGCGACCCCAGGUCAGGCGGGGUUACCCGCUGAAUUUAAGCAUAUCAAUAAGCGGAGGA